CGCGAAGAACCUUACCAGGGCUCGAACGUGCGUUGACAGUCGCGGAAACGUGAUCUUCUUCGGACAACGUGCGAGGUGCCGCAUGGCUGUCGUCAGCUCGUGCCGUGAGGUGUUGGGUUAAGUCCCGCAACGAGCGCAACCCCCAUCUUCAGUUGCCAACGGGUCAUGCCGGGAACUCUGAAGAAACUGCCGUCGUAAGACGCGAGGAAGGAGGGGAUGAUGUCAAGUCAUCAUGGCCUUUAUGCCCAGGGCUACACACGUGCUACAAUGGGGAGGACAAUGGGCUGCUACCUGGCAACAGGAUGCUAAUCUCAAAAACCUUUUCUCAGUUCAGAUUGUAGUCUGCAACUCGACUACAUGAAGCUGGAAUCGCUAGUAAUCGCGCAUCAGCAAUGGCGCGGUGAAUACGUUCCCGGGCCUUGUACACACCG
This 431-nucleotide ribosomal RNA is filed under the name uncultured bacterium. RNAcentral describes it as "bacterial SSU rRNA". It matches the Rfam family "Bacterial small subunit ribosomal RNA", at positions 960 to 1392 of the family's 1533-position model. The record is from RNAcentral.